Cyprinus carpio carpio is the source of this 489-nucleotide long non-coding RNA. The record is from Ensembl. Lineage: Eukaryota; Metazoa; Chordata; Actinopteri; Cypriniformes; Cyprinidae.
GAAGCCACAGAUUAGUGUGACACAACAUUUCAAAAACACUGAUGAAGAACUACACUACAGUUGCUGCCUGACAGAGUGUUCCAAAUUGGUAACUUAUGAGGUUCCAUGCUGCUUAGGAUGCUCUCUUUGAAAACGCUGCCUGCUAGGAUAUGAAACAAAGUUUGUAUUUUCUCCAAACCUUUACAUCUUGCAGUCGAUUCCUCCUCUGCGGGUGGAUUGUAAUGAAUCUGCAGUGGAUGCUACAAGCUGGAGGCAACGUGCACAACAAAAAACCAGAAAGAAACAUCACAAUGUUCACUGCAGGGCAACGCUGCAUCGACAAGGAUGGCGGCGCUUCUCCUGAACGAGCUAAGACUAAUGAGACACAAACAGACACACACCUUCAGUCCUUCCUUCAUUCUUCUUCCUCGGUGUAUCUUUCCAUCCUUCACAUUUCAUGGACUCAGUAUAGCAGCUGGCUAUUGCAAAGUGCAUGAGUUAUUGUCAGCG